RNAcentral lists this ribosomal RNA (550 nucleotides) under uncultured bacterium. RNAcentral describes it as "bacterial SSU rRNA". It matches the Rfam family "Bacterial small subunit ribosomal RNA", at positions 355 to 896 of the family's 1533-position model. The record is from RNAcentral.
UAGGGAAUCUUCCGCAAUGGACGCAAGUCUGACGGAGCAACGCCGCGUGAGUGAAGAAGGUUUUCGGAUCGUAAAACUCUGUUGUUAGAGAAGAACAAGUGCUAGAGUAACUGUUAGCGCCUUGACGGUAUCUAACCAGAAAGCCACGGCUAACUACGUGCCAGCAGCCGCGGUAAUACGUAGGUGGCAAGCGUUGUCCGGAUUUAUUGGGCGUAAAGCGAGCGCAGGCGGUUCCUUAAGUCUGAUGUGAAAGCCCCCGGCCCAACCGGGGAGGGUCAUUGGAAACUGGGGAACUUGAGUGCAGAAGAGGAGAGUGGAAUUCCAUGUGUAGCGGUGAAAUGCGUAGAUAUAUGGAGGAACACCAGUGGCGAAGGCGACUCUCUGGCUUGUAACUGACGCUGAGGCUCGAAAGCGUGGGGAGCAAACAGGAUUAGAUACCCUGGUAGUCCACGCCGUAAACGAUGAGUGCUAGGUGUUAGACCCUUUCCGGGGUUUAGUGCCGCAGCUAACGCAUUAAGCACUCCGCCUGGGGAGUACGACCGCAAGGUUG